AGUGAACGCUGGCGGCGUGCUUAACACAUGCAAGUCGAACGAGAACGGGCUAUAGCUUGCUAUAGUUGUCAGCUAAAUGGCGCACGGGUGAGUAAUGUAUAGGUAAUAUGCCUCUUACUAAGGGAUAACAAAUGGAAACGUUUGCUAAUACCUUAUACUCCUUAUUAACAGAAGUUAAUAAGGGAAAGAUUUAUUGGUAGAGAUUAGCCUGUAUUGUAUCAGUUAGUUGGUGGGGUAAUGGCUUACCAAGACUAUGACACAUAACUGGUUUGAGAGGAUGAGCAGUCACACUGGAACUGAGACACGGUCCAGACUCCUACGGGAGGCAGCAGUGGGGAAUAUUGCACAAUGGACGAAAGUCUGAUGCAGCAACGCCGCGUGGAGGAUGACACAUUUCGGUGCGUAAACUCCUUUUAUAUGAGAAGAUAAUGACGGUAUUAUAUGAAUAAGCACCGGCUAACUCCGUGCCAGCCGCCGCCGUAA
This 483-nucleotide ribosomal RNA is filed under the name uncultured bacterium. Its description in RNAcentral is "partial 16S ribosomal RNA". It matches the Rfam family "Bacterial small subunit ribosomal RNA", at positions 29 to 523 of the family's 1533-position model. The record is from RNAcentral.